Long non-coding RNA from Pteropus alecto (black flying fox), 944 nucleotides. RefSeq lists it as uncharacterized. The record is from RefSeq and is a predicted model, not a curated record. Lineage: Eukaryota; Metazoa; Chordata; Mammalia; Chiroptera; Pteropodidae. The transcript is spliced from 2 exons.
AUAGAAUGGGAACCUUUAAGGUUGCUACAGAUCCUUUCUCUUUUCAGCUCCUUCCAACUCCACAGUCUUCAUGUCCCUCACAAAAAAAGAGAAAAACCCGGCAUUCUUUUCUUAAUUUAGAGUAGUUUAAGCAUAAUUUUUGGUUGCUUUGUUGCAUAGUUUUACCUUCUACUCCAUGCCUAUCAAGGUAUUUCCCCAAUAUAUUUCUUUCCUCAAGAGAAAUCCUAGGGUCAGCUGUCAAGACCCAAGAUAGCUGUAAAUGAUCCAGAUUUCACACUGUUCUCAGGUUCAUGGUUUCUUAUGGUCAGUGCAGAGAUCCUACAUGGAACCUAAAGCCCCUGUCCUUAAGCUCUUCUAGUUUAAUCCUGUAAAUGUUACUCCUUAAGUCUCACACCCCCUCCAUCAUUACCUUUUCUCAAUUUCCCAAAGAACAAAAAAUGUCAGUGAAUGAAUGGGCUGCGCAGAUUCCCUCUUCUCUAGUGGUUUAUUGACGUCUCAGGUGCACGUGCAACUUGAACCUGCAUUCUUAAGGUCCCUCCUUCCAGUUCCCCACACUGCAAAGGUCUUUAGGACAUUUUCUUACACAUUCACACUAUGCUUUUUAUUAAAACACAGCUGCUGAAACAAAGGCAAGAACUUUCAGCUUUCAAUCUAGUCUUUGCUUUUCAACUGGUAAAUGAUUUCAUCUGUUUGUGCCUCAAGAUUGCAGAGCUGUGAAACAAAGGGGAUGACUUCUUUUUCACAUGAAUGAUAUGGCCUAACAAAAUUAAUGUUGUAUAUAGUUGUAAAUGCAAAAUAAAUGCAAACCUAGAGCCUUUGAGAGAAUCCCGAGAACUGGAAAACUUUUCAGGUAGAAUCAAACAAUUCCAAUUUUCUGGUUGUAUUGCCAAAUUUUCAAACUUUAUUGUUUACACCAUUUAAAAAUAUACUGACAUUUUAAGUGA